GCCCCUGGGGAGUGUAGUCUGUGCCGAGAAGGGGUAAGAAGAGGCGGAGCUUCACUGAGAGCCUACCCCGGCCGUGUUUAGAAAAAACAGCGGAUGAGCCACCAGUGGCUGUGGUUCAGGGGGCGUGGCUUUGUCUUUUCCGCGGCGCCGGCGGCAAUCCCUGUGCUCAAAGGAUUCUGGGUACUGUGGUCCUGGUCCCUUGGAAAGCAGGGCAGUGAUGGGUGCUGGCCCACCCAGCCUUUGGCCGUGUGGCGGGACAGAGUGCCAGUGUCGAAUAAGCUUGGAAAGUGCACCUAGUCCUGAUGGAUGUAUAUACGGUACAGUGCUAUUAACAGGAACCCAGGUUGAGAUGCAGGGCAAGGACUUGCAUUUGUGGAGUGGCUUCAGGAUGAGGAGUCCAUGAAGAGGCUUCUUCCAUCUUGAAAAAAGGGGGCCAGUGGCUGCUCACUCAGAGUCAUUCUCUGGAAGUGUUGGUUCAUUGGAAGAUAUCCUGGAGGUCUCCAUGAUGCCAUGGUACCCAACCCUCUGCUCUUUGAUGCUGAUCAACAGUAACAGCAGAAUUCCCAAACUGUGAGAUGCUCUUACUAGGAUUAAAACCUCUCCACUUAUAAAGUAGUCAUGGAGUCACACCCAGACUUUUUGUUGCAUCUGAAGAUUCUAUGAGGAGAAGACUCCCAUUUCAAGAAUUCAGAUCUCACACCCACACUAGGACUUUAAGUCGAUGAUAAAGAGCAUGACAAGAACAUGACUUUUAACACACCAGACUGAAAACUGUGUGUGGAGGUGAGUAUUGUUUGCUUUCAAUUGCUCUGAAUGCCAGGUUGUAGCUAGUAAGGACUGAAAAGCCAAGACUGUUCUUGUGAGCACCAAAAUCAGACUUUCUACAUUGGCAUAAAACUAGGUUAUUAAUGCUUUUAAGGUUCUAGGAAGGUUUUUUUUCUUAAUUAAAAGGACACUUCAGCUUAUAAAGAUGACCCCUGGGGAUGAACCCUCAAUCUUUCCUCCCCUCUAUCAUUCUGACUGAACAGGAUUGGCAGUGGUUUUGUUGAAUAACUGGUAGUUCCCCCUUUUCUCCUCACUCAGUAAACAUUUAGUGAGUGCCUGGUAUGUGCCAGGCAUUGGGAGUGAUAACUACAAAGGGAUUAUAUGCAUAGCUACUUACAAUAAUACAGGCAGUGUUGUAUGAUAGUUUAGUGAUCAUGAACUUUGGAACCAGUGAGUUCUGACUUCAAGUCCUAGUUCUACCAUGUAUUGGGGAUGUGGACUUGGCCUUAGGAUGAAGUCAUCAUAGGCUUAAUUUUCUACUCUGCAAAAUGGGGCAGUGAUAUUAACGACCUCAGAGAUUAUAUAUGAAUAUAAAAUAAGGCAAUGCACAUAAAGCACUUCAUACAUUGCAAGCUUGAGAAAUGUUACCAUUAUUCCUAUUAUUCCAUGUUACUAUUAUUAUCUAUGGGAUAACAGUUUAACUUUUGUAUGUAUAAUCUUUUGUAAUUUUCAAGACAACCCUAUGAAAAGAAUAUUAUGAUAUUGUUAUUUUCAUAUUACAGAUGAGUAAACCAAGAGCAUAAAGGUUAAAGACCUUCUCAAGUUUAUACAUGUAGUAAGUGGUUGAUCCACGAUUCAGACAGAGUCCUUGCUUUCAUGAGUUCCCUGAGUUGAUUCAAACAAGAAUCACUUAGUGAGUUAAUCUAUCAUCAAUUAUGAUGAAUUUAACAUCAUCAUUGGUUCUUUCCUUUAUCAAUUAAAAAAUCCUUAUUUAUUUAUUUUGAGAGAGGGAGACAGAGAGAAAGAGAGAGAGAGAGACAGAGAGAGAGAGAGAGAGAGAG
This is an RNA transcript of Felis catus (domestic cat), 1826 nucleotides long. RefSeq lists it as uncharacterized. The transcript has 5 exons. The record is from RefSeq and is a predicted model, not a curated record. NCBI's taxonomy places the organism in Eukaryota, Metazoa, Chordata, Mammalia, Carnivora, Felidae.